RNAcentral lists this long non-coding RNA (483 nucleotides) under Homo sapiens (human). RNAcentral's name for it is "HSALNT0363192". Lineage: Eukaryota; Metazoa; Chordata; Mammalia; Primates; Hominidae. The record is from RNAcentral.
UCUCCUCCCCCCAGCUCCCACGCCUACCCCGGGGCCCCACCCAGCCGGAAAAGAGCCCAGAGUCUUCCAGGCCCGUGGCCUGACUGGGAAGGAGCUGCGAGGAAGCUCAGGCCGGCCGGGUGGAGGCCCUAGGGAAGGAAGGGCCCAGGGGGCAGAAGAGGAUGCACCCAGGAUGGGGAUGGGCAGCCGAAGGGCAAAGGAGGAGCCCAACAUCCUGGGUUGGAGUUUGGAUGCAGCCCCAGCUGUGUGACCCCGGGGCCAAUCCCAAUCCAUCUCUGAACCCCACCCGCUGCAGAGGGCUUCCCCCCACAACAUCCAAAGAGUGUCUUUGAGGGGCUGGAGCAGAAACAUUGCCUCUCAGAUCCAAGACCCUGUUUGGGGUGGCACAAGCCUUCUGAGGAAAUGCAGGCACAGAGGAAGACAUUCAUUCUUUCAAAAUCAUUUGUUCAACCAAUGCAGCGGCCUACUACGAGUGUGACAUAG